Molecule: microRNA precursor, 52 nt
Filed under: Marmota monax (woodchuck)
Lineage: Eukaryota; Metazoa; Chordata; Mammalia; Rodentia; Sciuridae
Source: RNAcentral
UUUUAAACAUAUGUAUGCCCCAUGCAUUAUUUGGGACACAUGUACACUAAAA